Molecule: long non-coding RNA, 571 nt
Organism: Wyeomyia smithii (pitcher-plant mosquito)
Lineage: Eukaryota; Metazoa; Arthropoda; Insecta; Diptera; Culicidae
Exons: 3
Source: RefSeq, a predicted model, not a curated record
UGUAUAUUUUCGUUCGCGUGAUCUUAGUUUGCUAUGUAACAGUUUGAAGAGUAUGUUGAGUUGUGUUUUUAAGUGAUCGAUUCUAAAUGCUAAUUUUAAUUUCCCUUAUGAACAAAGCAAGCUGUUUAAUAUUGUUAAUGUUAUUUUCAGUUAAAAUAAGUAUCAAAUCAAGUUUCUUCGAGAGUACUGGGUACAUUGCAUGAAUUACAGUUUUCGUUAGGGACCAAUCCCCAUUUAUAUAGUCUAUCCUUUGUGGCUAAGUGGCCUAAGCGUAGUCUGGAUAAUGUUAUCGUGAGAUCGUUCGGCAAACAUAUGUUUUGGAACCAUGGCUCCAGUUUGAUCGUUGGCAUAAUUUUGUAAUGGCUAAGGGUCAAGUCGUCUUUGGUUAUUGGAAAGUCGUCGAUUUCAGUUCUUGUUGUUCCAAGCUUAGCUGCAUGAUCAGCUCUGUCGUUUCCCGUUAGAUGAAUAUGUCCAGGAAUCCAUUGAAUGGUGAAACUGUCUAUUUGCGAUCUAUUAAUUAAUUUAUAAAUGGUACAGAUUAAAAAGUUUUCAUCAUUUUUCGUACUUUGAA